GAUGAACGCUGGCGGCGUGCCUAAUACAUGCAAGUCGAGCGAAUGGAUUAAGAGCUUGCUCUUAUGAAGUUAGCGGCGGUCGGGUGAGUAACACGUGGGUAACCUGCCCAUAAGACUGGGAUAACUCCGGGAAACCGGGGCUAAUACCGGAUAACAUUUUGAACCGCAUGGUCCGAAAUUGAAAGGCGGCUUCGGCUGUCACUUAUGGAUCGACCCGCGUCGCAUUAGCUAGUUGGUGAGGUAACGGCUCACCAAGGCAACGAUGCGUAGCCGACCUGAGAGGGUGAUCGGCCACACUGGGACUGAGACACGGCCCAGACUCCUACGGGAGGCAGCAGUAGGGAAUCUUCCGCAAUGGACGAAAGUCUGACGGAGCAACGCCGCGUGAGUGAUGAAGGCUUUCGGGUCGUAAAACUCUGUUGUUAGGGAAGAACAAGUGCUAGUUGAAUAAGCUGGCACCUUGACGGUACCUAACCAGAAAGCCACGGCUAACUACGUGCCAGCCGCCGCAGUAA
RNAcentral lists this ribosomal RNA (515 nucleotides) under uncultured bacterium. Its description in RNAcentral is "partial 16S ribosomal RNA". It matches the Rfam family "Bacterial small subunit ribosomal RNA", at positions 28 to 523 of the family's 1533-position model. The record is from RNAcentral.